RNAcentral lists this unclassified non-coding RNA (723 nucleotides) under Hevea brasiliensis (rubber tree). Lineage: Eukaryota; Viridiplantae; Streptophyta; Magnoliopsida; Malpighiales; Euphorbiaceae. The record is from RNAcentral.
CAUACAGUCCAGACAUUCAUACAUAUAGGAAUGAAACAUAAAUAAGUUCAAUGUCCACAGUGGUCAAGGCACUUGGGAGUGCCUGAAAUUGGACCUUCAUGUCAUUGGAGGAUAAUUAAUGGCAACAACAAAGACUAAACUUUAAUUCUGUUUUGCCUUUCACUCCUAUAUGAACCUAAUUUCGCAUCAAUAUUGAAAAAUUAUAAAUUUUUUAAAACCAUUUUCCUCCACAUCACACUUUUUAAGAACAAUCUUUCCAAACAAACAUAUAGAAACCGUACAAUAUGAAACCAUCCCAAACCAUGAUCCAAACAUAGUGUUUGAGUUUUUGAGACCUAGGGACUUGAAUGUGUACUAUAUGGAUAAUUGUGCAUGAGUGAAUCAUAAAGCUUACAUUAUUUACCCCUGUUGCAUCACUGAUUGAGGAAGGUUGCACUGUUUAUGGUCUUAUCCAGUUUUAUGAUUGAUGGCCCUAUGUUUUUUGGAAGAACAGAAAAAUGUCUUCUGUGUCUUUAUUCUUUAAUGUAUUGAGUUAAUUAUGUUUUUCUGGGUUUUAAUUUUGUCAUCUUGGUGUGUUUUUGUUUUUUUUAGUAGAAAUGGCUGAAGAAAUUAAGACAGCAGCUUUUAUCCCUGAAUCUGUGUUAAAGAAAAGGAAGAGAAGUGAAGAUUGGGCUUUGUUGAAGAUCCAGGAAUUAAAGACAAAGAAGGAAAAAAAUGCUGAAA